This 253-nucleotide ribosomal RNA is filed under the name uncultured bacterium. Its description in RNAcentral is "partial 16S ribosomal RNA". It matches the Rfam family "Bacterial small subunit ribosomal RNA", at positions 524 to 776 of the family's 1533-position model. The record is from RNAcentral.
UACGGGGGGGGCAAGCGUUGUUCGGAAUUACUGGGCGUAAAGGGCUCGUAGGUGGCCAACUAAGUCAGACGUGAAAUCCCCAGGCUUAACCUGGGAACUGCGUCUGAUACUGGAUGGCUUGAAUUCGGGAGAGGGAUGCAGAAUUCCAGGUGUAGCGGUGAAAUGCGUAGAUAUCGGGAGGAACACCAGUGGCGAAGGCGACUACCUGGCCUGUUCUUGACGCUGAGGCGCGAAAGCUAGGGGAGCAAACGGG